CUGAUUUUCUGAGCACUGCAUGUACCAGAAAAAUCUCACUGCUGCUGGCAGAGUCUGUCAUGUAGCACUCAGAAAUGUGUCAUGAGAAAUGAUCCCCAAUCUCAGUUGAGAAACAUCACAACAGAUGAAGAAGUAAGAAUAAGCAUGGCAGCUCAGACUCGAAUGGUUUGCAAAGGACAGAUACAAUCCUGUCAGCCCCAUGCUUGAGUUCUGGC
This 215-nucleotide long non-coding RNA is filed under the name Cricetulus griseus (Chinese hamster). Its description in RNAcentral is "lncRNA (ENSCGRG00000025034.1)". Lineage: Eukaryota; Metazoa; Chordata; Mammalia; Rodentia; Cricetidae. The record is from RNAcentral.